GUGAACUCGAAGAGUAGGGCGGGACACGUGGUAUCCUGUCUGAAUAUGGGGGGACCAUCCUCCAAGGCUAAAUACUCCUGACUGACCGAUAGUGAACCAGUACCGUGAGGGAAAGGCGAAAAGAACCCCGGCGAGGGGAGUGAAAAAGAACCUGAAACCGUGUACGUACAAGCAGUGGGAGCACCUUCGGGUGUGACUGCGUACCUUUUGUAUAAUGGGUCAGCGACUUAUAUUCUGUAGCAAGGUUAACCGUAUAGGGGAGCCGCAGGGAAACCGAGUCUUAACUGGGCGUUAAGUUGCAGGGUAUAGACCCGAAACCCGGUGAUCUAGCCAUGGGCAGGUUGAAGGUUGGGUAACACUAACUGGAGGACCGAACCGACUAAUGUUGAAAAAUUAGCGGAUGACUUGUGGCUGGGGGUGAAAGGCCAAUCAAACCGGGAGAUAGCUGGUUCUCCCCGAAAGCUAUUUAGGUAGCGCCUCGUGAACUCAUCUUCGGGGGUAGAGCACUGUUUCGGCUAGGGGGUCAUCCCGACUUACCAACCCGAUGCAAACUACGAAUACCGAAGAAUGUUAUCACGGGAGACACACGGCGGGUGCUAACGUCCGUCGUGAAGAGGGAAACAACCCAGACCGCCAGCUAAGGUCCCAAAGUCAUGGUUAAGUGGGAAACGAUGUGGGAAGGCACAGACAGCCAGGAUGUUGGCUUAGAAGCAGCCAUCAUUUAAAGAAAGCGUAAUAGCUCACUGGUCGAGUCGGCCUGCGCGGAAGAUGUAACGGGGCUAAACCAUGCACCGAAGCUGCGGCAGCGACACUAUGUGUUGUUGGGUAGGGGAGCGUUCUGUAAGCCUGCGAAGGUGUGCUGUGAGGCAUGCUGGAGGUAUCAGAAGUGCGAAUGCUGACAUAAGUAACGAUAAAGCGGGUGAAAAGCCCGCUCGCCGGAAGACCAAGGGUUCCUGUCCAACGUUAAUCGGGGCAGGGUGAGUCGACCCCUAAGGCGAGGCCGAAAGGCGUAGUCGAUGGGAAACAGGUUAAUAUUCCUGUACUUGGUGUUACUGCGAAGGGGGGACGGAGAAGGCUAUGUUAGCCGGGCGACGGUUGUCCCGGUUUAAGCAUGUAGGCUGGUUNNNNNNNNNNNNNNNNNNNNNNNNNNNNNNNNNNNNNNNNNNNNNNNNNNNNNNNNNNNNNNNNNNNNNNNNNNNNNNNNNNNNNNNNNNNNNNNNNNNNNNNNNNNNNNNUGGAGCUGAGACCAGUCGAAGAUACCAGCUGGCUGCAACUGUUUAUUAAAAACACAGCACUGUGCAAACACGAAAGUGGACGUAUACGGUGUGACGCCUGCCCGGUGCCGGAAGGUUAAUUGAUGGGGUUAUCCGUAAGGAGAAGCUCUUGAUCGAAGCCCCGGUAAACGGCGGCCGUAACUAUAACGGUCCUAAGGUAGCGAAAUUCCUUGUCGGGUAAGUUCCGACCUGCACGAAUGGCGUAAUGAUGGCCAGGCUGUCUCCACCCGAGACUCAGUGAAAUUGAACUCGCUGUGAAGAUGCAGUGUACCCGCGGCAAGACGGAAAGACCCCGUGAACCUUUACUAUAGCUUGACACUGAACAUUGAGCCUUGAUGUGUAGGAUAGGUGGGAGGCUUUGAAGCGUGGACGCCAGUCUGCGUGGAGCCAACCUUGAAAUACCACCCUUUAAUGUUUGAUGUUCUAACGUUGGCCCCUUACCGGGGUUGCGGACAGUGUCUGGUGGGUAGUUUGACUGGGGCGGUCUCCUCCCAAAGCGUAACGGAGGAGCACGAAGGUUAGCUAAUCCUGGUCGGACAUCAGGAGGUUAGUGCAAUGGCAUAAGCUAGCUUGACUGCGAGCGUGACGGCGCGAGCAGGUGCGAAAGCAGGUCAUAGUGAUCCGGUGGUUCUGAAUGGAAGGGCCAUCGCUCAACGGAUAAAAGGUACUCCGGGGAUAACAGGCUGAUACCGCCCAAGAGUUCAUAUCGACGGCGGUGUUUGGCACCUCGAUGUCGGCUCAUCACAUCCUGGGGCUGAAGUAGGUCCCAAGGGUAUGGCUGUUCGCCAUUUAAAGUGGUACGCGAGCUGGGUUUAGAACGUCGUGAGACAGUUCGGUCCCUAUCUGCCGUGGGCGCUGGAGAAUUGAGGGGGGCUGCUCCUAGUACGAGAGGACCGGAGUGGACGCAUCACUGGUGUUCGGGUUGUCAUGCCAAUGGCACUGCCCGGUAGCUAAAUGCGGAAGAGAUAAGUGCUGAAAGCAUCUAAGCACGAAACUUGCCCCGAGAUGAGUUCUCCCUGAGACUUUAAGUCUCCUGAAGGAACGUUNGACGUUGAUAGGCCGGGUGUGUAAGCGCAGCGAUGCGUUGAGCUAACCGGUACUAAUGAACCGUGAGGCUUAACCUU
RNAcentral lists this ribosomal RNA (2398 nucleotides) under Klebsiella pneumoniae. RNAcentral describes it as "23S ribosomal RNA". It matches the Rfam family "Bacterial large subunit ribosomal RNA", at positions 399 to 2925 of the family's 2925-position model. The record is from RNAcentral. Lineage: Bacteria; Pseudomonadati; Pseudomonadota; Gammaproteobacteria; Enterobacterales; Enterobacteriaceae.